UUAACUGUCUGGGUGUGAGGUAGAGGUGGCUGGGCUAGCAGGUAGUGACAGUCUGGGUGUGGGGUAGAGGUGGCUGGGCUAGUAGGUAUUUAACUGUCUGGGUGUGGGGUAGAGGUGGCUGGGCUAGCAGGUAGUGACAGUCUGGGUGUGGGGUAGAGGUGGCUGGGCUAGCAGGUAUUUAACUGUCUGGGUGUGAGGUAGAGGUGGCUGGGCUAGCAGGUAUUUAACUGUCUGGGUGUGAGGUAGAGGUGGCUGGGCUAGCAGGUAUUUAACUGUCUGGGUGUGAGGUAGAGGUGGCUGGGCUAGCAGGUAGUGACAGUCUGGGUGUGGGGUAGAGGUAUUUAACUGUCUGGGUGUGGGGUAGAGGUAUUUAACUGUCUGGGUGUGAGGUAGAGGUGGCUGGGCUAGCAGGUAGUGACAGUCUGGGUGUGGGGUAGAGGUGGCUGGGCUAGUAGGUAUUUAACUGUCUGGGUGUGGGGUAGAGGUGGCUGGGCUAGCAGGUAGUGACAGUCUGGGUGUGGGGUAGAGGUGGCUGGGCUAGUAGGUAUUUAACUGUCUGGGUGUGGGGUAGAGGUGGCUGGG
Oncorhynchus keta (chum salmon) is the source of this 582-nucleotide long non-coding RNA. RefSeq lists it as uncharacterized. Lineage: Eukaryota; Metazoa; Chordata; Actinopteri; Salmoniformes; Salmonidae. The record is from RefSeq and is a predicted model, not a curated record. The transcript has 4 exons.